CAAAAGUGUAUUGCAAAGUUGACGAACCAGACAACACCCACAAUGAGUCCAUAAAUUAUAUAAAGAGUUGAAAACAUUCGACAUUUAUGUUGGAUUAAAAACUUUUUAUUUUACGGAAAAUUAACUGCUUCCUUAACAGUAAGGAACAACUUCGCCAAGGAAUUUAAAAAAACAUCCCCAUAUCCUCUCAGAGGCUAGCCGUUUGCAAAGUUAGCUUUUUAGAUACACACAUCGCCAAUAUUUCAAAUAAUACAGAUAUACAAGUAUUAUCCAUGGUUUAAAACGACAACUAGAACUUACCAAAUAUAACAGAAUUCAAAUUUACCUUUCGCCAAGAUUAGGCAAAACGGCGGGACCUUGAAUUUGAUGGAUUUUCCAAGCAAAAUUAGUUAAAUAUCGUGCACUCUUUGAAGUCUCAAACUAAAAAGCACAUUUACAACGAAACAAUGGUCAUAUAUGAAUAUUUAGCUUACCUUUAGGAAAGAAUUGUGUCUUUCGUGGCGAAAUGAAGCCGUACCGAUCGACUGACUGCUGGCGUGACGACAAAAAGUAGAACGAACUCUGCAGCCGUUACGCGAAGGCGGGGCUUAAGCAACACCAACCAAUUAACACUGGAAUUUAACAACGCGAAUUUUACGGAAUUUACACUGGCAGUGUUAUUUUAAAGCUGUGUGGUGUCAAAACAACACUCACACUCUUUAUUUGACACUACACCUGAGAUUUCAACACUGGCAUUUUUACUGUGUAGGUUUGGAAAUGUCCAAAUGUGUGGUGACUCUUUGUAUUGGUAUUGAAGUUGUAGUUACUGUUGUUUUCUUUUUUUUCUCGAAGCAUUCAGAACCAGAUAAAUCACUGCAUUUGCUCAUGACUCUUAAUCACUCAUUGGACAUCAACAAAAACUAUAAACUGUUAUCAUUUUUAAUGGUGAAAAAGUGUUGACAGAUAGUUGUUAGACACACAUUUGUACUAGGGAUUUCUUAAAAGAAUUCCACCUAAGGGAAAUUGUUUUUAAGGAUAGAAACUUCAAAAUAAGUAAAUAAUCUAAAAUAUUAGAUUAUUGAAAGACUGUUGAAAGAUGGGAGUUUGGGGAGGGUGGAAUAAGAAAAAUAAGUAAAAUGUCUUUUGACUUUAAAUGACGAGACCGGAAAAAUCUGGAAUAAAAGUCUUCACAAGUUCUUUUCUGAAAAAGACUGGGAUAGAUUUGAACAUAAUAACCUAUGUUCCCUGGCACUCUAAGCCUUUAAAAUGCUCAUUGUUCAGUUGUCAGAGUAAAACGAGUCUACAAAGAGCUGCCUGUACUGCUCGAAUAAAAGUGAAGCUGUAAUUGAAAAACGGGUUUCAAUUAAACAUAUUGGUAGCCAGAUAAGUGCCUAUAGGUUAAGGUUUAUAUUCACUGUUGAGUACGAUAGAGGCUUUGUUUUUGUACCAUAAACUGACAUAUGUCCUUUAUUUAAACUUGACAAGGGGAAAGUGUUGGAGUUUCUAAGAUGAUAGGUGACCUGGAAUUAAAAAGUAACAGAAGGCAUUCCCGCCCACUGGCUCCACAGGCACCAGGCUGCCCCCACUCUCACUUUCAGCUGUAACCUCCCAUUAGAAACACAUUUAGUAGUGUUGCACAGCAUAAGGAACACAUGGAAGAUGAAUAUGGCUGUAAUGGUGACUUGAAAGAAGCUAACAAGCAUACAAACUAAAAUAUAUAUAAGUGCCUGGCAAUAUACACAAAAACAAUGUGGUAUUUACACUGUAAUUUUUAUUCCAAACAGAAAAGGAUCAUCAUAGGAAUUUGUAUUCCAUGUUAGCAAUGAAAAAGUGUUGUGGCCUGCUUUCAGCCACGUGGGCAUCAAUGUACAGCAGCAGGUAGAGGAGGGGUGUAGCAGUAUUUUGUAAAAAUUUAUGCAGCUGGAGAAAACUUACCACUCAUUAUGGUACUUUGACAUUACACUGAAAAGAUUUAAGGACAUCAUCCCAUGGACUUUGCGAUUAGUUCUGUCUGAGUUCUGAAAUAAAUAACCGAGAAUAACUAUAUUCUCCGUUAUUUAUGUAUUUUCUACAUUUGCCUCUGUUUACUGAGUGCUGAUUCUUCUCCCCCAGUCAUUUCAUGUUUCUGUGCUGUCAUUAGUCUCUUCUUCCCAGGUCCUUAUCUUUGCCCUUCAGCAGCUGCUAACUGUUCUCACCUCCCUUUGACGUCACAAUCACACCUCAACAGCAUUAAACUAGCUGGUUUUCAUUUCUCUUUGCCAGAUUCUGCUGUUGCUCUCAUCCUGGUUCCUGUGUCUUGAGUUUCCUCUGUGUUUUCUGUAAGUUCACAUUUUGAUGUCCACAUCAGCAUGAUGCUCUUGAGAUCCUAUCCCUUUCAAAAACGCAUAUUGAUGUUUGAUUUUUAACUUUCGAUGCAUUGUUCCAUCUGGAAACGUCUGUAAUUUGAAUUUGCUAUUUUCAAUGACUAACUGAGGCAUGUAAAAAGAAAAUAAGAAUAUGAAAAAGAAAUAUCUUCAGACAUUUAAUUCUUCUAGUUUCUAAAAUUGCCAAAAGUCUGGAUGAAUAUGAAGUUUUGCAAUAAAAGUUCAUAAGAACCAUGUGGAGACAGAGUUAUAGUGAAGUAUUUUCCCUCCAUAAUUGGUUCACUUUCACGAGCCACUCCAAGGCCUAGAUACAACUCAACCAGUGAGCACUGUCAUGCACAAAUAGAGAAAACACAGAUCAGUGGUGAACCUUCCUUGGAGUGGCCUUGUCAAGGCUGGGCUGAAAUCCACUUGAGAUGAUGUAACAUGACAAUAUUCCUCCACAGGGCUGCAAAGGCUCAUUGUAGGUUAUGAGAAACGUUUCACAGUAAUUGUUGCCACCAAGAGUUGCAUAGCUGCUAUGUUUGGAGAGCAAUUGCUUGUUCACAUUAGAAGGUUGGUAUGGUUAGACUUUAAUAAAUUGAAUCAUAUUUUGAAAACUUCUUUUUGUGUUUGCUCUGGUCGACUUUGAAUAUAUCAAAUUGAUUUUAUAUAUGAUAUAUGAUUUUAAACCUUCAACUGACAAAAAGUGGAAAACAAGAAAUUUGCAAAGGGGAAAUUACUUUUUUCAUUGCAUUGUAUAACUAUUAUAGCCUAUAAUGGUAUGGGACCUUUGCAAAUCCUUGGCAAUUACAAUAUAAGAUUCUUUCAGAGACAUUUGCGCUCUGUGGAAAAAGAGUUUGUGAGAAGGCAACCAAAUUUAGAAGUACUUCCAGUAAAGAAGAAAGAUUUAAACCAAACAAACUAUAGAGUGGUACCUCAUCCCUUCUGCAAGGGAAGUCCUGCUGGCUCCACUCCUAGAUAACACGUGGUGACUCUGACUUUCUCUCUUUUGUGAAGGUGUGCAAGGAUGGAUAUAAGACGAUUCUCUCAUAAAAAAGCAUUUAUUUAUUUUUUUCUAAAAUUAUCUUCUGUGUGCAGCUUUCCGUCUUUCAGUGUCUGCAGCAUCGACCGGCGACUCCAAGGGAAUCUUUCCCUCACACAAAAUAUUGACAAACUUAUUUGUGCGAGUCAGAUUUAAACACACAAUCCACCCAGGUCAAUGUGUUUUGUCUCACAUGUGUGAAAGCUGAGGUCCCUGCAACAAGAAAAUGACUGACAAAGCAAUCCCUGAAUACAAGCACUACCAGGGUGGUGGAAGUCCUGGAUUUCAUUGCUUCAUAAAAUGCAUGAGGUUUCUGAACACCUCCCUGGGUCAUUUAUCGUUUCCUCUGCGUUCCCUAAUGGUUUUUCUUGCUGUGCGGGAGAAUCAUUUAUAAAAGCAGCCUUGACAGUCUCUCCAGGGUACAGGAUACAGCAGCGAGAGUGCCGCUAUCUCCUGAUUUGGAUGCAGAGGCAUGAGCGGAAACACCUUUGGAGAACAAAUCGUUCAACAGAUUCAACACAUUAAUUGUCGAACAAAAAUAAACCCGGAAGGUAAAAGCUGUGUGUGAAAAACUAAGUACUCUGUUGCUAAUCCUAUACAACUUAGCAAGGUAAGCAGCAGGUAGGUUCUGCUGGUUAAUUAUGCCUGAUUAACUGAUCAUCAUGAAAUGUCACCAUUUUGUUGUUCAUUGCUGUUUAAUAUUUAAUGAGGGUGGUUUCCACAAUCCAAAUUUGAUGUAAAUUGUUUUAGAAACAAGUUUUCUUUGUUGUAUUCACAUAUGAGCCUAGAAUAGAAAGAGGGUAUUCUUUCUUUUAAUGGAGACUGUAUGUGGUCCUCUCACUGGAAAGAUAAUUCAGUUUUGACACAGUCACAUGGACUCUUCUCUUGAAUAAUUCAUUGUCCCGAUCUUACCUUCUACACCAAGCGAUAUAAUAAUACUUUCUGUUUCUUAUAAGGCCGAAAGCAAUCUUCAUAUCUCAUCUGUGCAAACUGAGAGUGAGGCGGGCAGAUGAUGGGAUAGAAGAAGAGCCUUAAGGAUAAAUAGAGUAAAUGAGCAAGAAGGCGACGUUGCGAGGAGAUGGAGACGGAUGCGAGCAUGACACGGGCUGAAGUCAGAGUGUGACAGGCAUGCAGAGGAGGAGGAGGAGGCAGAGGAGGAAGAAGACGGAGGUGGGGGAAGAGAUGCUGGAUGAGUCAAAACCCCUGAGCUCCGAUGAACUCUGUGAAAGACACAGUGCUGAAAAGAUGGCUGGCAUGUGCCCUCUCUGCCAAGACAUGCCUAAGACAAUGACAUAAUUAUAAUCAAACAAGCAAGGGCACGCUGCGAGAGCCCCCGACUCACGCUUGGCUCUUUUUUUUUUUAUUCACUCACUUAAUCAUCAUUUUCCUUUCACUCCCAGUUUUACUGACAUCAAAGCCAAAUCUGUAUAAUUAGAGAUAUUCCUGCAAAACAAUAUGGUAUUUCUACAAUCCCACUGUCAGUUAAUACAAACAGUAAUAAUAAAUAGAUUUUACAUACAGUACAGUCAUAAAACUCUCCUUAAACUUCAAAAAAGUACUAUUACUUUUAUGUUGAUAUUGCACACAUGUACAUGGGAACACUUUGGUGAGUAGCGCUGCUGCAAAAACAGGGUCACAGAAUACGGUUUAACAGGCUACAAUAACAGAGAGGCAUUAACUCCAUCAUAACACGUGUUUACUGUGUAGGUUUUGAUUCUGCUGAGCCACAGAGUCACUGCUGACGCUCCUUUUCCGCAAGUCUCCGUGCUUUGUUCUGGAGGUAACGUGACUUGCCCU
Molecule: long non-coding RNA, 5163 nt
Organism: Gambusia affinis (western mosquitofish)
Lineage: Eukaryota; Metazoa; Chordata; Actinopteri; Cyprinodontiformes; Poeciliidae
Exons: 2
Source: RefSeq, a predicted model, not a curated record